Molecule: ribosomal RNA, 301 nt
Filed under: uncultured bacterium
Lineage: Bacteria
Description: partial 16S ribosomal RNA
Rfam family: Bacterial small subunit ribosomal RNA
Source: RNAcentral
CAGCAGCCGCGGUAAUACGAAGGGGGCUAGCGCUGCUCGGAAUGACUGGGCGUAAAGGGCGCGUAGGCGGCGGCCAAAGUCAGGCGUGAAAUUCCCGGGCUCAACCUGGGGGCUGCGUUUGAUACUUGGUUGCUUGAGUGGGGAAGAGGGUCGUGGAAUUCCCAGUGUAGAGGUGAAAUUCGUAGAUAUUGGGAAGAACACCGGUGGCGAAGGCGGCGACCUGGUCCUUUACUGACGCUGAGGCGCGAAAGCGUGGGGAGCAAACAGGAUUAGAUACCCCAGUAGUCCCUGUCUCUUAUAC